AUGGCCAAGGGAAAAGAUGUUAGAAUCAGAGUUAUUUUGGAAUACAUCAGUUGUGUUCAAAAAGGUGCCAAUGAGGAAUCGACGGGGAUUUCUAGAUACAGUACUCAAAAGAAUCGCCACAAUACACCCGGACAAUUAGAAUUCAAAAAUUUUUGUCGUUAUUGUCGCAAGCAUAUGACUCAUCACGAAAUAAAGAAAUAG
This 201-nucleotide ribosomal RNA is filed under the name Triticum aestivum (bread wheat). RNAcentral's name for it is "partial small subunit ribosomal RNA". Lineage: Eukaryota; Viridiplantae; Streptophyta; Magnoliopsida; Poales; Poaceae. The record is from RNAcentral.